This is a non-coding RNA of Phoenix dactylifera (date palm), 88 nucleotides long. The record is from the annotation of a RefSeq genome assembly. NCBI's taxonomy places the organism in Eukaryota, Viridiplantae, Streptophyta, Magnoliopsida, Arecales, Arecaceae.
UUUUAUAUAUUUAUAAUAAUAUUAUAUAUUUAUAAUAUAUUAAUUCUAAUAAAAUUAGAUUAGAAUAAAUUAAAAUUUAAUAUAAAAU